UGGUAGAGCAGCUGACUCUUAAUCAGCGGGCCCAGGGUUCGAGUCCCUGAGAGUGCACCA
RNAcentral lists this transfer RNA (60 nucleotides) under Caudoviricetes sp. Its description in RNAcentral is "tRNA-OTHER". It matches the Rfam family "tRNA", at positions 16 to 71 of the family's 71-position model. Rfam says of the family: Transfer RNA (tRNA) molecules are approximately 80 nucleotides in length. Their secondary structure includes four short double-helical elements and three loops (D, anti-codon, and T loops). Further hydrogen bonds mediate the characteristic L-shaped molecular structure. tRNAs have two regions of fundamental functional importance: the anti-codon, which is responsible for specific mRNA codon recognition, and the 3' end, to which the tRNAs corresponding amino acid is attached (by aminoacyl-tRNA synthetases). tRNAs cope with the degeneracy of the genetic code in two manners: having more than one tRNA (with a specific anti-codon) for a particular amino acid; and 'wobble' base-pairing, i.e. permitting non-standard base-pairing at the 3rd anti-codon position. The record is from RNAcentral. Lineage: Duplodnaviria; Heunggongvirae; Uroviricota; Caudoviricetes.